Molecule: transfer RNA, 77 nt
Filed under: Nitrospirota bacterium
Lineage: Bacteria; Pseudomonadati; Nitrospirota
Also listed under: 1 other name
Description: Nitrospirae bacterium tRNA-Asp
Rfam family: tRNA
About the family: Transfer RNA (tRNA) molecules are approximately 80 nucleotides in length. Their secondary structure includes four short double-helical elements and three loops (D, anti-codon, and T loops).
Source: RNAcentral
GGGGUGGUAGUUCAGCUGGUUAGAACGCCGGCCUGUCACGUCGGAGGUCGCGGGUUCGAUCCCCGUCCACCCCGCCA